AACGAACGCUGGCGGCAUGCCUAACACAUGCAAGUCGAACGAGACCUUCGGGUCUAGUGGCGCACGGGUGCGUAACGCGUGGGAACCUGCCCUUAGGUUCGGAAUAACUCCCCGAAAGGGGUGCUAAUACCGGAUAAUGUCUUCGGACCAAAGAUUUAUCGCCUUUGGAUGGGCCCGCGUUGGAUUAGCUAGUUGGUAGGGUAAAAGCCUAUCAAGGCGACGAUCCAUAGCUGGUCUGAGAGGAUGAUCAGCCACACUGGGACUGAGACACGGCCCAGAAUCCUACGGGAGGCAGCAGUGGGGAAUAUUGGACAAUGGGCGAAAGCCUGAUCCAGCAAUGCCGCGUGAGUGAUGAAGGCCUUAGGGUUGUAAAGCUCUUUUACCCGGGAUGAUAAUGACAGUACCGGGAGAAUAAGCUCCGGCUAACUCCGUG
This 433-nucleotide ribosomal RNA is filed under the name uncultured bacterium. Its description in RNAcentral is "partial 16S ribosomal RNA". It matches the Rfam family "Bacterial small subunit ribosomal RNA", at positions 29 to 507 of the family's 1533-position model. The record is from RNAcentral.